RNAcentral lists this ribosomal RNA (813 nucleotides) under Triticum aestivum (bread wheat). Its description in RNAcentral is "partial small subunit ribosomal RNA". Lineage: Eukaryota; Viridiplantae; Streptophyta; Magnoliopsida; Poales; Poaceae. The record is from RNAcentral.
AUGCUUGGACCGCACUUAUUGAAGAGACGGAGAGGAUUGUUGAGAUUUUUGUGUAUUCCUGGUCAGAGCGAGAUAUUAAAAAUACGGAAAGUGUAUGAUGCAUUCCGUGCGGAGUUCCCUCUGUGCUUUGGCUAUUGGAAGAAAUAUGCAGAUCAUGAAGGCCGUCUAGAUGGUGUCAAUAAAGUUUUUGAGGUGUAUGAACGGGCAGUUCUUGCAGUUACUUAUUCAGUGGACAUAUGGUGUAAUUAUUGUCAGCUUGCGAUCUCAACAUACAAUGACCCAGAUGUCAUCAGAAGACUGUUUAAUCGGGGUUUAGCAUAUGUUGGAACAGAUUAUGGUUCCAAUACUUUGUGGGAUGAGUACAUCAAGAAUGAAGAAUCACUUCAAGCAUGGAGUCAUCUAGCUGUGGUAUACACAAGAAUACUAGAGCACCCUAUAAAACAGCUUGAUCGGUACUUUAAUUGGGAUGGCAGCAACGGCGGAGCACGAGCAGGUGAGGUGCGGCGCCUUCGUCGGACCGCUACAGCCACGGCGGAGGAGAAGGUGGACGCCAUGGGCGCGGCUACAGAGGAGGCGGAGGAGAAGGCGGACAUCGUGCACUUGCUACACGGCUACAGCCGAGGCGGAGGAGAAGGCGGAUGCCAUGGCCUUGCUGCGCUCGUGGGCGUUCUUGAGGAUGGUACACCGGCCGUGCCGCCGCCAGUCCUCUCUGGCCUCCCGCGUGUUAUCCUUCUCAACCUCCGCUCCUUCUGUCGUGAUUUGGAUGGGAAAUUGGAGGCCGGCCGUGUCCUUGUCCAACACAAAUUGAUGUAG